UUCCCUGAAUCAACAUUAACUGACAAACAUAACUAUUUUUAGAAUUAAAAGAGCUAACAAUGCUUUAAGACAGUGUCUACCUGUAUAUCUCUAAUUAAAUAUACUAAUGGUGAAAAAAAUCAAGGACGUUUUACUUUGCCUAUUGUAUCAAAUCACACCAAACCACAACAAGCUCACAGCAAAGAAGUAAAAUACACAGAGUUCUCUAACGUUAUAAAUAGUGAAUGUAAUGAACAAUUAAGUAAGAAA
Molecule: long non-coding RNA, 249 nt
Filed under: Mytilus galloprovincialis (Mediterranean mussel)
Lineage: Eukaryota; Metazoa; Mollusca; Bivalvia; Mytilida; Mytilidae
Source: RNAcentral